Molecule: transfer RNA, 58 nt
Filed under: Dipodomys ordii (Ord's kangaroo rat)
Lineage: Eukaryota; Metazoa; Chordata; Mammalia; Rodentia; Heteromyidae
Rfam family: tRNA
About the family: Transfer RNA (tRNA) molecules are approximately 80 nucleotides in length. Their secondary structure includes four short double-helical elements and three loops (D, anti-codon, and T loops). Further hydrogen bonds mediate the characteristic L-shaped molecular structure. tRNAs have two regions of fundamental functional importance: the anti-codon, which is responsible for specific mRNA codon recognition, and the 3' end, to which the tRNAs corresponding amino acid is attached (by aminoacyl-tRNA synthetases). tRNAs cope with the degeneracy of the genetic code in two manners: having more than one tRNA (with a specific anti-codon) for a particular amino acid; and 'wobble' base-pairing, i.e. permitting non-standard base-pairing at the 3rd anti-codon position.
Source: Rfam by way of RNAcentral
UGGCUCAGUGGUAGAGUGCUUGCCUCGCAUGCAGGAGGCCCUGGGUUCGAUUCCUCAG